Molecule: ribosomal RNA, 252 nt
Filed under: uncultured bacterium
Lineage: Bacteria
Description: partial 16S ribosomal RNA
Rfam family: Bacterial small subunit ribosomal RNA
Source: RNAcentral
GACGUAGGGCGCGAGCGUUGUCCGGAUUUAUUGGGCGUAAAGAGCUCGUAGGCGGCUUGUCGCGUCGUCCGUGAAAACCUGGGGCUCAACUCCAGGCUUGCGUCGAUACGGGCAGGCUCGAGUUCGGUAGGGGAGACUGGAAUUCCUGGUGUAGCGGUGAAAUGCGCAGAUAUCAGGAGGAACACCGGUGGCGAAGGCGGGUCUCUGGGCCGAUACUGACGCUGAGGAGCGAAAGCGUGGGGAGCGAACAGG